Molecule: long non-coding RNA, 570 nt
Organism: Drosophila sulfurigaster albostrigata
Lineage: Eukaryota; Metazoa; Arthropoda; Insecta; Diptera; Drosophilidae
Exons: 3
Source: RefSeq, a predicted model, not a curated record
GUAAAGUAGACAAAACAAAGUGCCUCAACAACAACAAACAAAUUCACUAAUAGUUGCCGCAUUGAUGAGCUUUAUUUAUCACAAAUAUUGUCGGGUUAAAUUUAUGUAAAUGAUGUAUCUAUUAACUAUGCAUGCUUUCAGCUAAACAGUUGUCUAUUGCGCUCGACAAAAACAAACAGACAAAUAGGAAAUAUGCAAAUUUGAUGUGUAUGUGUUAGUGUGUGUGCGUGUGCCAAAACGGACACUUUGGCCCAAGAACACAAUGAAGUUGAGUUGAAAUCCCCUAUUCUAGUCUCAUUGGCAUGUCCUGGGAUACCGCAAUUGAGCAUUUGGCUGGCACAUUAACAGCAGCCAGUCAACAGCAAAAGCACAGCAUUGAGUGGAGAGUGAGACAUCAAUGUCUGGCACGUGGCGAAGUUUAUCGUAUUGAUAAGAUGAUAAGGCAAAUGAAUGGAUUAAAACAAGUACUAUAUUUGCGAUAAAUUAUUCAUUAUGUAUGCAUAAGCUUGCCCGUAAACCAAACCAUAUCCUGUGAAACUGUGAGAAAAAAAUUAUAAAUGAAACGUUGCG